UUGAAAUCCUUAGGAUGUUGCUGGCCUUUCGGGGCAUGUGCACUCCGCCUUUUCAAUUCACCUGUGAACUCAUUGUAGUCCGGACUUUUAUUAGUCUGUGUCUAUGUUUUUAUACACCCCAUUUAAAAAGUUUAACAGAAUGUCAUAUCAGACCUUUAUCGGUCGAAAUAAAUUAAUA
This 178-nucleotide unclassified non-coding RNA is filed under the name uncultured Agaricales. RNAcentral's name for it is "sequence contains ITS1". Lineage: Eukaryota; Fungi; Basidiomycota; Agaricomycetes; Agaricales. The record is from RNAcentral.